This 254-nucleotide ribosomal RNA is filed under the name uncultured bacterium. Its description in RNAcentral is "partial 16S ribosomal RNA". It matches the Rfam family "Bacterial small subunit ribosomal RNA", at positions 524 to 776 of the family's 1533-position model. The record is from RNAcentral.
UACGGGGGGAGCAAGCGUUGUUCGGAUUUACUGGGCGUAAAGGGCGGGUAGGCGGCCACCGCAAGUCGACUGUGAAAUCUCCGGGCUUAACCCGGAAAGGUCAGCCGAUACUGCGGGGCUAGAGUGCAGAAGGGGCAACUGGAAUUCUCGGUGUAGCGGUGAAAUGCGUAGAUAUCGAGAGGAACCCCUGCGGCGAAGGCGGGUUGCUGGGCCGACACUGACGCUGAAGCGCGAAAGCCAGGGGAGCGAACGGG